Molecule: ribosomal RNA, 254 nt
Filed under: uncultured bacterium
Lineage: Bacteria
Description: partial 16S ribosomal RNA
Rfam family: Bacterial small subunit ribosomal RNA
Source: RNAcentral
UACGGGGGGAGCAAGCGUUGUUCGGAUUUACUGGGCGUAAAGGGCGCGUAGGCGGUCGUGACAAGUCACUUGUGAAAUCUCCGGGCUUAACUCGGAAAGGUCAAGUGAUACUGUCGGACUAGAGUACAGAAGGGGCAACUGGAAUUCUCGGUGUAGCGGUGAAAUGCGUAGAUAUCGAGAGGAACACCUGCGGCGAAGGCGGGUUGCUGGGCUGAUACUGACGCUGAGACGCGAAAGCUAGGGGAGCGAACGGG